This 211-nucleotide ribosomal RNA is filed under the name uncultured bacterium. Its description in RNAcentral is "partial 16S ribosomal RNA". The record is from RNAcentral.
GAUGAACGCUGGCGGCGUGCCUAAUACAUGCAAGUCGAGCGGUAAGGUUCUGCACUUAGUAUUUGACCGGAUCAAGUCCACGGUAAGCGAUUACCAGGGAAACUGACUGAAGCAAGGAAACUCCAAGGCUGGAGAAUCCGAGUCGAAUCCUGGGUGUAGAAUACACGAGCGGCGGACGGCUGAGUAACACGUAGGAACGUACCCAACGUAG